UACGGAGACUGCAAGCGUUAUUCGGAUUCACUGGGCGUAAAGGGUGCGCAGGCGGCCGUGUGUGUCAGGUGUGAAAGCCCGGGGCUUAACCCCGGAAUUGCGCCUGAAACUACAUGGCUAGAGCAUUGGAGAGGGUAGCGGAAUUCACGGUGUAGCAGUGAAAUGCGUAGAUAUCGUGAGGAACACCAGAGGCGAAGGCGGCUACCUGGACAAUUGCUGACGCUCAGGCACGAAAGCGUGGGGAGCAAAAGGG
This 253-nucleotide ribosomal RNA is filed under the name uncultured bacterium. RNAcentral's name for it is "partial 16S ribosomal RNA". It matches the Rfam family "Bacterial small subunit ribosomal RNA", at positions 524 to 776 of the family's 1533-position model. The record is from RNAcentral.